UUGAGAGAAGCUUAAGAUUGAAGCUUUAUAUUUUUAAUAUGAUGAUGUGUGUGAUGAACUCCUCUUUUU
RNAcentral lists this transfer RNA (69 nucleotides) under Rhopalaea idoneta. RNAcentral's name for it is "transfer RNA-Lys". The record is from RNAcentral. Lineage: Eukaryota; Metazoa; Chordata; Ascidiacea; Aplousobranchia; Diazonidae.